AAAAAGUUCAGUUGUCUCCUGAUGAUUGAAGAGUGUCUGGUGCUGUGUCUCCGAGGUCUUUGUGUGAGCACCCUGGAACCCUCCCGUCAAGGUUACACGAUCCCCCAAAUAACGAAACCCAGUGAUCUUUGACAUCACUCGACCACUGAGGAAGACACGGAGCGUGUCGAAAGCUCUGGUAGAAGAGUGAGUUUUUUGAUCUUAGGGUUGAAAACUCCACAGAUUGUGUUGCCGCAUCCGGACGGAGCUUCCCUCCGAAAAUUUCCACUGAGGCUGAACGG
This is a long non-coding RNA of Phlebotomus papatasi, 281 nucleotides long. RefSeq lists it as uncharacterized. Lineage: Eukaryota; Metazoa; Arthropoda; Insecta; Diptera; Psychodidae. The transcript has 3 exons. The record is from RefSeq and is a predicted model, not a curated record.